Molecule: transfer RNA, 71 nt
Filed under: Aptenodytes forsteri (emperor penguin)
Lineage: Eukaryota; Metazoa; Chordata; Aves; Sphenisciformes; Spheniscidae
Also listed under: 1 other name
Rfam family: tRNA
About the family: Transfer RNA (tRNA) molecules are approximately 80 nucleotides in length. Their secondary structure includes four short double-helical elements and three loops (D, anti-codon, and T loops). Further hydrogen bonds mediate the characteristic L-shaped molecular structure. tRNAs have two regions of fundamental functional importance: the anti-codon, which is responsible for specific mRNA codon recognition, and the 3' end, to which the tRNAs corresponding amino acid is attached (by aminoacyl-tRNA synthetases). tRNAs cope with the degeneracy of the genetic code in two manners: having more than one tRNA (with a specific anti-codon) for a particular amino acid; and 'wobble' base-pairing, i.e. permitting non-standard base-pairing at the 3rd anti-codon position.
Source: Rfam by way of RNAcentral
CCCCAGCUAGCUCAGUCAGUAGAGCAUGAGACUUAAUCUCAGGAUUGAGGGUUCAAGCCCCACAUUGGGCA